CAGUCGCCGCGGUAACACGUAGGGUGCGAGCGUUAAUCGGAAUUACUGGGCGUAAAGCGUGCGCAGGCGGUUUUGUAAGACAGGCGUGAAAUCCCCGGGCUCAACCUGGGAAUGGCGCUUGUGACUGCAAAGCUAGAGUGCGGCAGAGGGGGAUGGAAUUCCGCGUGUAGCAGUGAAAUGCGUAGAUAUGCGGAGGAACACCGAUGGCGAAGGCAAUCCCCUGGGCCUGCACUGACGCUCAUGCACGAAAGCGUGGGGAGCAAACAGGAUUAGAUACCCCCGUAGUCCCUGUCUCUUAUAC
This 301-nucleotide ribosomal RNA is filed under the name uncultured bacterium. RNAcentral describes it as "partial 16S ribosomal RNA". It matches the Rfam family "Bacterial small subunit ribosomal RNA", at positions 509 to 807 of the family's 1533-position model. The record is from RNAcentral.